CACGUAGGGGGCAAGCGUUAUCCGGAUUUACUGGGUGUAAAGGGGGCGCAGACGGCGAUGCAAGCCAGGAGUGAAAGCCCGGGGCCCAACCCCGGGACUGCUCUUGGAACUGCGUGGCUGGAGUGCAGGAGGGGCAGGCGGAAUUCCUGGUGUAGCGGUGAAAUGCGUAGAUAUCAGGAGGAACACCGGUGGCGAAGGCGGCCUGCUGGACUGCAACUGACGUUGAGGCCCGAAAGCGUGGGGAGCAAACAGG
This 253-nucleotide ribosomal RNA is filed under the name uncultured bacterium. RNAcentral describes it as "partial 16S ribosomal RNA". It matches the Rfam family "Bacterial small subunit ribosomal RNA", at positions 524 to 776 of the family's 1533-position model. The record is from RNAcentral.